Molecule: ribosomal RNA, 253 nt
Filed under: uncultured bacterium
Lineage: Bacteria
Description: partial 16S ribosomal RNA
Rfam family: Bacterial small subunit ribosomal RNA
Source: RNAcentral
UACGUAGGGUGCAAGCGUUGUCCGGAAUUAUUGGGCGUAAAGAGCUCGUAGGCGGUUUGUCGCGUCGACUGCGAAAAUCCGAGGCUUAACCUCGGACCUGCAGUCGAUACGGGCAGACUAGAGUUCGGUAGGGGAGACUGGAAUUCCUGGUGUAGCGGUGAAAUGCGCAGAUAUCAGGAGGAACACCGGUGGCGAAGGCGGGUCUCUGGGCCGAUACUGACGCUGAGGAGCGAAAGCGUGGGGAGCGAACAGG